RNA transcript from Cornus florida, 8662 nucleotides. RefSeq lists it as uncharacterized. The record is from RefSeq and is a predicted model, not a curated record. The transcript is spliced from 8 exons. NCBI's taxonomy places the organism in Eukaryota, Viridiplantae, Streptophyta, Magnoliopsida, Cornales, Cornaceae.
UUGUUAGGGAAGGGCAUUUUAGGCACUACAAUUUUCUAAACAGUAAAAAAUCAUGUGCCACCUCAGCAAUCCAUUUUAGAGAAAUAUGGAACUUUGACUACGUCUCUAAGUAAAUAUGAAACUUUUAACUCCAUUUAUAUGUAAUUUUUCCUUUUUUAUUUUUAUUAUUCAUUUUUCUUUUUUCAUUUUUCAUUUUUCAUUUUCCAAUCGCUCCUCACUCUCUCUCUCUUUAGCUCAACUCAGGCUCUCUCUCGUAGCUCCUCGCUUUCUCUCUCUCUACCCCCAAUCCUCUCUCUCUCUAGCUCGACUUAGGCUCUCUCUGGUCGCUCCUCGCUCUUUGCUCUUCAAUUGAGAGCUUGAUUACAUUUGAUCUCCCAAAAUUAUACUGCGAACAUAGUCCAACGAUCAUCGGUUGUGGUAUUUGAGCAUAUAUUUGGUUGUGCUAUUUGAUUUGGGAGCCAAAUCUAUAUCUGAUUUGCCAAAAUAGGCCAACGAUCAUCGCCGUUAUCUCCAUUUUUUUUUCCACUCGCAGAGUGAGCGAAGAAUACGUUGAAGGAGUUGGAAACUUUUUGGAUUUUGCAUUUUCUAAUGCAGCUAAAGAGGGGAUGAUCUUAUGUCCAUGCACUAAGUGUAGCAAUUGCGCGCUUUUGGAAGAAUCGUCAAGAAGUAUUAAAUCAUGUUAUUGCAGAUGGAUUUCUUAAUAAUUACACAUGUUGGGUGUUCUAUGGGGAGAGAAUCUCUUUAAGAGAUGUUAAUAAAAUAAUAGAGCAUGAGGACUUAGACCUAUAAGAUUACAUACAAGGGAUGUUGCAUGAUGCAUUUGGAGUUAGAAGUCCUAAUGAUGAGGUGGAUGAUCUGAUGUAUGAAGUACCGAGAGACCCAAUUUAGAUGUUAUGAAGUUUUUCAAGUUGGUAGAAGAUGUUGAAAUGGAAUUGUACUCGGGAUGUAAAUAGUUCACAAAGCUCUCUUUUAUUGUUCGGUUGUUUCAUAUAAAUUGUCUUGGUGGAUGGACCAACAAGUCAUUCACAAUGUUACUUGAGCUGUCGAAAGAAGCAUUUCCAGAGGGUAAAAGAUUACUAAAGUCUUUUUAUGAGACCAAAAAGAUUAUUGGAGAUUUAGGCUUAGAUUAUAAAAAAAUUGAUGCUUGUCCUAAUGAUUGCAUGUUAUAUUGGAAGAAGAUAGCCAAUCAUGAUUCUUUUGCAACAUGCGAUACUUCUAGAUGGAAAACAUUUUCUGAUGAUGAGGCAUCAUCUUCCUUCGAUAAGGUUAGAAAAGUUCCUGCCAUGGUGCUACGUCACUUUCCUUUAAUACCAAGGCUUCAAAGGUUGUUCAUGUCAUCAAAAGCAGAUAGUGAAAUGAGAUGGCAUGCCGAAGGGCAUAUAGAUGAUGGGAUCCUUAAGCACCCUGCUGAUUCUAGUGCAUGGAAAACUUUUGACUAUGAGCACCCUGACUUCUCUAAUGACAUUCGAAACGUUAAACUUGGGUUGUCAACUGACGGAUUCAAUCCCUUUAAGACCAUGAGCACAUCCCACAGCACGUGGCCUGUUAUUCUGAUCCCAUACAACAUGUCCCGGAAGAUCUGUAUGAAGCAACCAAAUUUCAUUAUGUCACUACUCAUUCUAGGACCUCGAGGGCUAGAAAUUGAUAUUAAUGUGUAUUUACAACUUUGAUAGAAGAGUUAAAGGAAUUAUGGGACGUUGGUGUGGACACAUUUGAUGCAGUAAGUAAUGCCAUGUUUAAAAUGAAAACAGCAGUCUUUUGGACUAUUAGUGAUUUUCCAGCAUCUACAGACUUGUCUGGGUGGGGAACUAAGGGCAAAUUGGCAUAUCCACCUUGUAACAAGGACAAGUUUUCUAUGGUUGGAAAUUUGUCAUAAAUUUUGUUAUUUGGGUGAUCGUCGGUUCUUUGAUUCUAAUCAUAGGUUUCGGAAGGAUAUACAAUACUUUGAUGGUACACAAGAAUGGAGAGAUCCUCCUAAUUUGAUUCGUUGGAUUGGUGUGUUAAAACAAUUACAAGGUCAAAACAUCAUAUAUUGUAAGCCAAAUCGUGACAGGGAUGGCGAUAGUAGCAAAGGGGGUGAAAGAAAAAAUAUCAUAUAAAAUUAGAAAAAAAAAAGGAGCAUCUUUUUUGAGUUAGUAUUGGAAGUCUAAUUUGAUUCGCCACAAUUUGGAUGUAAUGCAUACAGAAAAGAAUGUAUGUGAAAGUUUGGUUGGAACACUUCUGAAUAUAGAAGGAAAAACUAAAGAUCAUCUCGAGGCUCAUCUUGACUUACAAUAUAUUGGCAUAUGACCAUCUCUCUACCCAGUUCAGCAAGGAGGGAACAAGACAUUUGCAUCCUGCAUGUUUCUCUUUGUCUCGAGAAGAGAAACGAAUGUUUUGUACCAUUUUGAAGCAUGUUAAGGUCCCAAAUAGAUAUGCAUCAAAUAUUUCAUGAUGUGUGCAUCUCAAGGAUUAUAAAAUAUCGGGACUCAAGAGUCACAAUUGUCAUAUUUUGACGCAACAAUUACUUCCUUUGGCUAUACGAAGGUUUUACCCAAGAAUGUGGCUGUAAGUUUGAUUGAAUAUUGUCGGCUAUUUAGGGAGUUAUAUUCAAAAGUUGCACAUCCUAAGGAUUUCGAGAAGUUAGAAGCUUGAUUUGCACUAGUACUUUGUCACUUGGAGAGGAUUUUUCCACCCUUUUUUUUUGACAUAAUGGUGCAUUUGACCGUUCAUGUAUCAGAGGAGGCAAGACUUGGUGGACCUGUACACCAUCGAAAUAUGUAUCCCAUUGAGAGGUUAUUGGAUUUGGUUUUGUUGCAUUAUAUAUAUAUAUAUAUAUAUAUUGUAGCAUAUGAUGGAUGGUGUGAUGAGAAGGAAGGGAGCAGCAACUGAAAUAGGAAAAGAAAGAAAGAAAUGGUUGAUUGCGGAUCCCACAAAAAGAUAUUUAAUGGGUUGAUAUAUUACAUUGAAUAUAUAUAUAUCUAGUCAAUACUGUCGGAUGAAGAAGGAAGCAGGCAGCCAACAUUAGAAGGAUAAAAAGGAAGUGAUUUGAUGAUGAAUAUUGUGAUAGAUAGUGGCGGGACCCACUUGGAGAAUUACUUAGGCAAAUUUCCUUUGGCAUUGUGCACACGUGGGUUUGUUAAGUGAUAAUGCAAUCUGAUGAAAGAAAGAUAAGGAAGAAAUAUGAAGAUAGGAAUUAAGGAAAAGUGGUGGCGGGUCCCAUUGUUGACUUUUUGAUAUUUGCAUGUGAACUGUUGUUUGUUAUGUUGGAACAAAUUGCUUGUUGUGAACUGAGUUAAUGGAUACAGAAGAAAUAUAGAGGAAAUACAGUGAGAGAGAGAGAGAGAUGGACAGACACAGUGUGAAUGUUUGAUGCCUAGAUAAUUAUUUAUUUUUUAGUAAAAUACGAGGCAUAAUAAGAAAGCCAAAAGUAUUAAGGGUGUCAUGACUAGUGGGGCACAACAGUCACUUCAGCAACAGCGGAUUCAUCAGGAGCAUAGCAAUACUAAUACUAUCAGUCGUUUUAAGCAAAAAUAUGCUCACACAGUAGGGUCAAAAAGCUUUGCGCGAAUACGCGAGGAAGAGGAUAACGUAAGAAGAGGCCUAAUGAAGGGGAACCAACUCGGAUAGAGAUGUAUAUACUAAUGCACACGCAGAAGAAUGGACGACCAAUGGAUGGAGCAUCUGUAGAAAUUAUUAAUAAGCUUAAAGAAUAUGCAACUUAGCAACCAGAAACUUCACAACGCCGUCCUACUAAAGAUGACAUCUUUUCCCAAGUAGUUAACGAAGAUAGACAUGGCCUGGUUAGCACGUAUGGCUUGGGUUCCUCUCCGUUAGAUCUUUGGGGCACAACACCUAGUCAAGUGAAGUCAAUGAAGAUGGCUUCAGAGGCUAAAAGGUCUUGUGAAGCAGAAGUACAUGAUUUAAAAGAAGUGCAAAAAAUGAAGCAACUAAUAAUUGGAUUGCAGGGCCGGAUGGAUGCUAGAGAUAACCAAAAUCAAACGGCUGCACAUACUAAACAAUAUACCACUCGAACUGCCCCCACCAAUACUCAACAAGUAACUUCAUAGCAAAAUGAUAAAUUUCAAAAGCUUCCUUAUCUUUUUACCAUUUAUAACAAUUUUUCCUAUAUAUGCCAAAGGCCUUGUUAUAUGGUUUAAUAACACCCUUAAUUUAGUGAAUGAUGGAAAUUUUUAGGUACCAGACCUGGAGCUGUUUUGAAUAAACACACUAAUCACUCUUCUGCCAGAGAUUAGCACUAUUGUUUUUUAAGUAUCCAUUCUUUUGAAAUUUUUUAUUUUCUCAUUGUUCUGGUUUUUAUAUAGAGAAAUGAUAGGUUUUUGGACCUCAAUUGCCUCCUCCUCUUCCGAGUACAACGUGGUUGGGAAUGAGUCGAAUUUUACGGGAUUAUUUUUUAAGAGUUCCAACGUGAUUCAACCACAUUGUAUUUGGAGGAAGAGUCGGCAAUUAAGGUCAGAAGACCUAUCAUUUCUCUUUUUUAUAUAUGUUGCUCUUUUUGGGAGGGAAUUUUUCUUUUACUUUAUGGCUUUUCUAAGUUUGACUUUUUAAAAUUUUUUUAAUAAGAUGUUGUAUCUUGAUAUAUUGUUAAAUCUUAACUACAAAUCUGCUAAUUGCUAACUGGAGUAUAAAUGGGGGUGGGGGUAAUAACAUUGUUUUAGAUGAAUAAAAUUUACAAAACUGCUAAUUGCUAACUGGAGUCUAAAUAAGGGUGGGGUGCUUACUGCUAACACUAACACUGUUAAAGAUAAAUAAAAUAUAGUAAACUGUUAAUACGUCAUCCUAGGAAAGUUGUUUGAACAGUAAUUAAUUGAGCCUCUUUCUCAUUUUUUUUUUUUUUUAAGGGCCAGACAGAUGGUGGGUAUAACCCAUACCAACAAACUGCUCCAACUCAGCAAUUUGUUGCUCGUUCUUAGCCUAUGAAAAGACAGCAAGUAAUGAAAACCUCCGAUAUAAUAAAGCAAUGGAUAAUGCUCUUCACUGAUGUACAUUAUUAUCCAUCAAUUGUCAUAAUGCAUUAGGGCUUCAAACAAAAAUAAAACAACUAAGAAUUAGAAUGUAGGUCCAGAUGGAUGGUAGAGAUAACGAAAACCAACCCGCUGCUUAUAAUGAACAAUAUUCAUAUACCACUCAAACUGAGCCUAUCAAUACUCGUCAGGUAACUUCAUAGUAAAAUGAUAAAUUUCAAAAGUUUUCUUAUCUUUUUAUCAUUUAAUUGAACCUCAUUUUUGGGUAAGGCCGGAUGGAUAGUGGGUAUAACCCACACCAACAAACUGCUCCAACUAAACAAUUUGUUGCUCGUUCUCAACCAAUAAAAAGACGACAGGUAAUCAUUCUAUCCCAUUCUAAUCUACCUCGCCAAGUCUAUCUCAUUAUAAUCUACCUCUCCUUAAUGGAUAUAUCUAACGUGAAAUGCAUUUGAUUUAUCUUGAAUUAUUUUUAUUAACUUGAAUUUUUUUUUUGUUUUAAUAGGGCAUGAGUGAAGUUUUUUUUGUCAAGUCUCAGAAAGCCCGAUGUCAUAGUAGCUCGAGGAAUGCUUUUGAAUAAGAACUCGUUCAAAAGUAAAGGCCAUUGAAUUGGGACAUCAUAAUUGGGAGUAAGUGUUACCAUUCCAAUCAUGCCAGAAGAACCAUUACCUAUUGCUUCUACACGUUUCAAAACCAUUAGAGAUACAGCUGGAGCUAGUGUUUCUUGGCCUUCUGCUUAUUGAAGUGUGGGAUUCUUACUUAUUGCAAUGGCACUUUGAUUAUCACACUAGAGCUUAGGAGGACCUGGGAAUUGAAGACUAAGAUCUACAAGAGUAGUGUGCAUUCAAAGAAGUUAGGAACCAGCCUGAGAAACAGCUAUGUAUUCAGCUUUUGAUGUAGAUAAAGAGACAGUAUCGUACUUCUUGCUUAACCAAGAGACUAAGUUGGAACCAAGAAGAUAGCAACAUCCUGAUGUACUUUUUCUGUCAGGUAAGGACCCACCCCAAUCAGCAUUUGAAAAGGCUGUAAUAGACAAUGUGGGUGAGAAAAGAUAAAGUAGACCAUAGGAGAUGGUACCCUUAACAUAUCUAAGAAUCCUUGUAGCAGUUUGAAGAUGAGAGAUUCUUGGAUUGCUCUGAAAUCUUGUUACAAAGCCCACAGAAUACAUAAUAUCAGGUCUUGAAGAUGUGAGAUACAAUAAACUUCCAAUGAUAGACGUAUAAAGAGUAGAAGGGACAGAUUAUGUGGUACACUCAAGAGAGAGCUUGGUAUUUGUAAUACCCCCAUUUCUCAAAAGGAUAUUAUUGGAUUUUAAUUAUUGUUUUAUGUGCAUUUUAAUUGAUUAUUUGUUUUAUGUACAUUUAAAUGUUUAAUAUCUAGCUAUAUGUUUAAUUGUAAUUGUUUAUUUAGUUUAAAUUCAUUGUUUAAUUUAAUUGGUGUUUAAGUGACGUGUUUUAUUUAAUGGCUUGUGUGACUUAGUUAGUUUAUAUUUUGUAGGUGUCAUAUAUAGUUUAGGGUUUUAAUUUAUGUAAUUAGGUUAUCCAUCUUAUAAUUAGGUUGGGAAUUAAAAUUAGGUUUUAAGUAAAUGCCUAUAUAUAUUGAAUGGUAUACGUCGGCUAGGGUUGGAAAAUAAACCCUAUUCAUGUAAGGGUUCUUGAGAGAGAACAGAGAGAGGCUUGAGUGAAACAUAUAGAGGCUCAAGGAAUUAUUGAAGGGAGUUACUGGUGGGUUGAACCAAGAAGUAACAGAGGAAUGGAACAGUGAUCAGAGGAGGAGAAUUACUUGGGGUUGCCGGAACUUAGAGACGACGUUGAAAGGUUUCAAACUGAAACCUAAAGGCAAGUUCUAUUUCUAUUUCCUUCCCUUAAACCUGUGUUUUGUGCAUGCCUAGGUAGUCUCCAGGAACUUUAAGUUAUUAAAAAUUAACCAUAUAUGCAUGGUAAAACUUGAAUUAUAGUAUGUUAAUUGUAUGUGUAUAUGUUUGAAUUUUAUUUAAAGUUUAUUGCAUAAGUUGUGAUUUUAACUUGUUUAAAUUAUACAUAAGAGGUUUACAUAAUGUUUAGGGUUGUUCUGGACUUAAAACAGUAGUUUUAGGACCUUAACGGAGGAAGACGUAGUCGCCGGAGCCGUGGAAGACGAAAUGUCACAGUUCGGUCGACCGAUUUAGUGCACACGUCGACCGGUUUGCAUGAACCAGUCAACACCGUGGUAAUUCGGUCGACUGGUUGGUUGAAACCGGUUGAAACCUUGGGGGAAAAACGUUAACUGGUUAUUAAACCAGUUGACAUCUAUGAUGAAUCAGUUGACAUCGUUUAGAUUCAGUGGAUUUUUGCAAACCAGUUGACAUCUAGGGAUUUUACAUCAAUCGGUUUAGGCGAACCAGUCAACAUCUAGAAUUUUACAUCAACCGGUUUAGGCAAACCAGUCAACACUUGGGAUUUUACAUCAACUGGUUCAUGGAAUCGUCAUAUAGGUUGUCCAGUGUUGGAUUUUGGCACUGGAGUUGGUUUCUAGGGAUGGUUGGGCCUGGUUAAAUAAUUUUAAUGAAUUUCUAGGACCCGACAAUUAACUGGAAUGCAUAAUAUAAAAUAGUAUGCUAGGUUUGGGAUAAAAUUAAUAUAAUGGUUAGUUUAUGGAUAUUGUUUUACACUAUUUUAAAUCAACCAACUGAAUUGAAAUAGUUUAAUCAUGCUCUGGAUGUUUUACAGUCUAUUUGAGAUGCCUGUUAAUUUCUUAUUCUGUAAUUAAAUACGUACUACUUAGAACUGUUUUAUUGUUUAGAUUAAAUGUAAUAAUUGAAUAUAUGAUAUUAUUCAUGAUAUUCUGCACUAUUUGAUGUACCGUUUUAUAUUUGUACGUCAUGGAUUAGAUUAAUGUGCUCAGUUUAUAUUUCUGAUUAGCAUUAUGUCAUGUCUCGGAUUCAAGGAGUGUCACACUUACUUUGGGUUAUAAUUGCUGAGAUAUUAAACUAUAAUCUACAAUUACAUGGAUUACGGUUUUGGAAUUUAAUUGCUGAAAUAUUAAACUUGAUUCUACAAUUACUUGGAUUAUUGAUUUGGACUUCAAUUGCUGGACUAUUAAAUUAUGUCUGUCAAUUACAUGGACAUUAUGCUGGAUUUUAAUUGAUGAACCAUAAAAUACUAGUGUUAUCAAUUAUAUGGAUAUUGGGGAUGUAUUUGAUGUUCAAUUGAAUGUGCAUCAUUUAUAGAUCAUUUGCAUUAUAUACACCGGUAUGGGACGAUGACAUAUUGGAAAUGGAUUAGAUCAAAAAGCUAAGUCCUACUUUUUCAUACAUACGGAAUGGAUUAACUAAAACAGUUAAAUCCUACAUGAAUGCAUGUCCUGUCAACUAAUGUUAUCAAUUAUAUGGAUAUUGGGGAUGUAUUUGAUGUUCAAUUGAAUGUGCAUCAUUUAUAGAUCAUUUGCAUUAUAUACACCGGUAUGGGACGAUGACAUAUUGGAAAUGGAUUAGAUCAAAAAGCUAAGUCCUACUUUUUCAUACAUACGGAAUGGAUUAACUAAAACAGUUAAAUCCUACAUGAAUGCAUGUCCUGUCAACUAAAACAGUUGAACGACAUAACAGAUGGUUGUUCUACUUUUUUGUAUUAGGAAGGAAAUGAAUUAUGAAUACAAAAUCUUAUUUAUUUUUAGUCUGUGCAGUUGAACAAGCUGAACGACUAACUGGAUUUCUUACGGAU